GAGUUACGAGACAAAUUGGGUUUGC
RNAcentral lists this non-coding RNA (25 nucleotides) under Drosophila melanogaster (fruit fly). Lineage: Eukaryota; Metazoa; Arthropoda; Insecta; Diptera; Drosophilidae. The record is from RNAcentral.